AAACUAACAAGGAUUCCCCUAGUAACUGCGAGUGAAGCGGGAAAAGCUCAAAUUUAAAAUCUGGCGGCUUUGGUCGUCCGAGUUGUAUUCUAGAGAAGUGUUUUCCGCGUUGGACCGUGUAUAAGUCUCUUGGAAUAGAGCGUCAUAGAGGGUGAGAACCCCGUCUUUGACACGGACUACCAAUGCUUUGUGAUACACUCUCAAAGAGUCGAGUUGUUUGGGAAUGCAGCUCAAAAUGGGUGGUAAAUUCCAUCUAAAGCUAAAUAUUGGCGAGAGACCGAUAGCGAACAAGUACCGUGAGGGAAAGAUGAAAAGCACUUUGGAAAGAGAGUUAAACAGUACGUGAAAUUGCUGAAAGGGAAACGCUUGAAGUCAGUCGCGUUAGCUAGAACUCAACCAGGCUUGCUUGGCGUAUUUUCUAGUUAACGGGCCAGCAUCAGUUUUGACCGCAGGAAAAGGGCCAGGGAAAUGUGGCAUCUUCGGAUGUGUUAUAGUCUCUGGUCGUAUACUGUGAUUGGGACUGAGGACCGCAGCACGCGCAAGCUGUGCUUAGGAUGCUGGCGUAAUGGCUUUAAACGACC
This 581-nucleotide ribosomal RNA is filed under the name Irpex lacteus. Its description in RNAcentral is "LSU rRNA". It matches the Rfam family "Eukaryotic large subunit ribosomal RNA", at positions 62 to 649 of the family's 3401-position model. The record is from RNAcentral. Lineage: Eukaryota; Fungi; Basidiomycota; Agaricomycetes; Polyporales; Irpicaceae.